RNAcentral lists this long non-coding RNA (261 nucleotides) under Bos taurus (domestic cattle). RNAcentral describes it as "long non-coding RNA NONBTAT023888". Lineage: Eukaryota; Metazoa; Chordata; Mammalia; Artiodactyla; Bovidae. The record is from RNAcentral.
CUACAGCCACACUUUAUUACCCUGAUAAAAUCCAAUAUCUGGUUUUCAAAAUUCACAAGGUUUCUUGAGAUUGAGUAAAAAGAAGUUGGCAAAACUACAAGACAAGUAGGUUACAAACAAGAAGACAUACAAUGGUAAAUACAUCACACAGUUGCUUUCCCACAGCCACAUCAUAGAUGGCUAUCUACCUGUUAUACACAACACACAUUUGUCCAUACCAUAUAAACCCUCUAAAAAGCUAAAUGAUAUUACACCAAUCCU